UAAAUAUGUGUCGUUAUGAGCUGCUUGCACAAGCAACCUAUACGGUCGUUUUCUAGGUGAGGACGGUCUGGAAUGUAACUUUUAAGAGAA
Molecule: long non-coding RNA, 90 nt
Organism: Etheostoma spectabile (orangethroat darter)
Lineage: Eukaryota; Metazoa; Chordata; Actinopteri; Perciformes; Percidae
Exons: 3
Source: RefSeq, a predicted model, not a curated record